UCCAUCCGUGAUGAAGGGCCUACGUGAGGU
This 30-nucleotide non-coding RNA is filed under the name Mus musculus (house mouse). Lineage: Eukaryota; Metazoa; Chordata; Mammalia; Rodentia; Muridae. The record is from RNAcentral.